UUCUCCAAGAAAACCCCCAAUCUGCGAUUGGAAUUCCGAUAGCAAACCACAAGAUUAAUGCCGACGAUCAAGCAGGACAACAAUGGUGCUAACCAUGUGGUGGGUGCGUGACAAAAAGGAGCAGUUUGACCCCUACGAAGUUUAUGGAGUACUUACUUGCAAGUAAUGGAGUUGGAUCACCGUUGAUGGAGGUGGCUCACGGAGAGCGCUGGAUGUGAGAGAGGUCGCAACUAAGAAAGAGAUGAGAACUUGUGAUGGACAUACACCCGAAGCCUCAACUAGAGCUACAGACAACACGGAUUUGGCCCAGAGUCAAGUUAAUUUGAGCUGGGUAUGUCUGAUCCAAGCCCAGCCUAAUGCGU
Molecule: long non-coding RNA, 362 nt
Filed under: Helianthus annuus (common sunflower)
Lineage: Eukaryota; Viridiplantae; Streptophyta; Magnoliopsida; Asterales; Asteraceae
Description: sRNA HanXRQr2_Chr16g0728761
Source: RNAcentral